Molecule: transfer RNA, 73 nt
Filed under: Cordylochernes scorpioides
Lineage: Eukaryota; Metazoa; Arthropoda; Arachnida; Pseudoscorpiones; Chernetidae
Description: tRNA-Thr
Rfam family: tRNA
About the family: Transfer RNA (tRNA) molecules are approximately 80 nucleotides in length.
Source: RNAcentral
UCCAGGGUAGCCUAGUGGACAAGGCACCUGCCCGGUAAGCAGAAGGGUGUGGGUUCGAUUCCCGCCCCUGGAC